RNAcentral lists this ribosomal RNA (439 nucleotides) under Macrothele taiwanensis. RNAcentral describes it as "partial 16S ribosomal RNA". It matches the Rfam family "Bacterial large subunit ribosomal RNA", at positions 1826 to 2602 of the family's 2925-position model. Lineage: Eukaryota; Metazoa; Arthropoda; Arachnida; Araneae; Macrothelidae. The record is from RNAcentral.
AAACAUUUCUAAAUGAAUUUAUAUUUAGUAAGACCUGCUCACUGAAUUCUAAAUAGCCGCGGUCACCCGUGCUAAGGUAGCAUAAUCACUUGCCUUCUAAUUAGAGGCUAGAAUGAAAGGUCAAACAUGCCUAUCCUUUUAUUAAAUUACUAACUCUAAAUUCUCUUGUUAGUAAGAAGACUAACAUCCACCAGGGGGACGACAAGACCCUGUCGAACUUUUACUAUAUGUUUAGCUGGGGUGGCCACAAACAAAAUCUUUACCUUAAUUUUCUAAACAACCCGUAAAAGGAAUUACUAAGUUACCGCAGGGAUAACAGCAUAAUUUUUUCUAAAAGACCUUAUUUAAGAAAAAGAUUGUGACCUCGAUGUUGAAUUAAUAUUCUUCUAGGGGCAAAAUUCUAGAAAGAAAGUCUGUUCGACUUUUAAAUAAUUACGUG